This 774-nucleotide ribosomal RNA is filed under the name Triticum aestivum (bread wheat). RNAcentral's name for it is "partial small subunit ribosomal RNA". Lineage: Eukaryota; Viridiplantae; Streptophyta; Magnoliopsida; Poales; Poaceae. The record is from RNAcentral.
AUGCACCACCACAAGCCAUUAAAGGGUCAAGGAUCUCGUGAAAUUGAUUGGCAAAAGCGCUAUAAAUUGAUCAAAGGGAUUUGCGCAGGCUUACAUUACCUCCACAAGGGUCGUGCAAAUUGUCCAAUUGUUCAUUUGAAUUUAAGCCCGUCAAAUGUAUUGUUGGACGAGAACUACAUACCACGCAUCACAGGGUUCGAUUUUUCCAAGCUCAUUGGUGAAAAGAACACCAAAUCCGUGGUACUUAAGCUGAAUGGACCCAUAGCUUACCUGCCACCGGAUUUCCUGCACUCCAAGGGUCCUGACCUCAAAUAUCUAGCUACGGUAGACAUAUACAGCUUGGGUCUUAUCAUUCUAGAGAUCGUAACGCAGCAAGAGAUCAAAGGCAACCAUGGAGUGCUUAUUAAGAGCAUAGAGGAAAACUGGAGGGAAGAGUCACAAAUAACACGGUUGUAUACCUCACUAGAAGCUGACGAACUGCAGCAAGUAAAAAUGUGCAUUGAUAUUGGCCUAUACUGCGUCCAGUCAAAGCCUGAAAAGAGACCUACGGCUGAGGACAUCAUGCUCUGGCUUGAUAAAGGGAUCAAACCAGUCCCAACCCCAAGAGCAGGUGGAGGAGUGUCAAGACCUACAGUCUCAGUUCCAAGGGCAGGUCCAGGAGUGCCAAGACCUCCUGCCCCCACUAAUAUCACCCAUGCAGAUGACCGCAUCCAAGGGAAACGAGAAGCCGGAGGGAUUCAUAAAACGAAUCUUCAGAAGAAAGUAGCCACCUGA